This 76-nucleotide transfer RNA is filed under the name Candidatus Allofournierella pullistercoris. RNAcentral's name for it is "Candidatus Fournierella pullistercoris (gut metagenome) tRNA-Lys". It matches the Rfam family "tRNA". From Rfam's summary of the family: Transfer RNA (tRNA) molecules are approximately 80 nucleotides in length. The record is from RNAcentral. Lineage: Bacteria; Bacillati; Bacillota; Clostridia; Eubacteriales; Oscillospiraceae.
GAACCAUUAGCUCAGUCGGUAGAGCAUCUGACUUUUAAUCAGAGGGUCCGGAGUUCGAGUCUCCGAUGGUUCACCA